Molecule: ribosomal RNA, 329 nt
Filed under: uncultured eukaryote
Lineage: Eukaryota
Description: partial 18S ribosomal RNA
Rfam family: Eukaryotic small subunit ribosomal RNA
Source: RNAcentral
CCCUUAGAUGUCCUGGGCCGCACGCGCGCUACACUGAGUGUCUGAGAUACGAGUCUGCCUGGUCCGGCAAGGUCUAGGUAAUCGCUAAAAGACACAUCAUGCUUGGGAUAGAUUAUUGCAAAGAUUAAUCUUGAACGAGGAAUUCCUAGUAAGCGCAAGUCAACAGCUUGCGUUGAUUACGUCCCUGCCCUUUGUACACACCGCCCGUCGCUACUACUGAUUGGAUGUUUAAGCGAGGUUCUCGAACUGCUAGCGACUUAGCUUCGGUGAGGUCGCAGUGUGGGAAGUGAACCUAGCUUUGGUGUCUAGAGGAAGUAAAAGUCGUAACA